GACGAACGCUGGCGGCGUGCCUAAUACAUGCAAGUAGAACGCUGAAGGAGGAGCUUGCUUCUCUGGAUGAGUUGCGAACGGGUGAGUAACGCGUAGGUAACCUGCCUGGUAGCGGGGGAUAACUAUUGGAAACGAUAGCUAAUACCGCAUAAUAGCAGUUGUUGCAUGACAACUGUUUGAAAGGUGCAAAUGCAUCACUACCAGAUGGACCUGCGUUGUAUUAGCUAGUUGGUGGGGUAAAGGCUCACCAAGGCGACGAUACAUAGCCGACCUGAGAGGGUGAUCGGCCACACUGGGACUGAGACACGGCCCAGACUCCUACGGGAGGCAGCAGUAGGGAAUCUUCGGCAAUGGACGGAAGUCUGACCGAGCAACGCCGCGUGAGUGAAGAAGGGUGUCGGAUCGUAAAGCUCUGUUGUAAGAGAAGAACGAGUGUGAGAGUGGAAAGUUCACACUGUGACGGUAUCUUACCAGAAAGGGACGGCUAACUACGUG
Molecule: ribosomal RNA, 495 nt
Filed under: uncultured bacterium
Lineage: Bacteria
Description: partial 16S ribosomal RNA
Rfam family: Bacterial small subunit ribosomal RNA
Source: RNAcentral